Molecule: ribosomal RNA, 620 nt
Filed under: Sulfitobacter sp.
Lineage: Bacteria; Pseudomonadati; Pseudomonadota; Alphaproteobacteria; Rhodobacterales; Roseobacteraceae
Description: bacterial SSU rRNA
Rfam family: Bacterial small subunit ribosomal RNA
Source: RNAcentral
GGACGGGUUAGUAACGCGUGGGAACAUACCCUUCUCUACGGAAUAGCCUCGGGAAACUGAGAGUAAUACCGUAUACGCCCUUCGGGGGAAAGAUUUAUCGGAGAAGGAUUGGCCCGCGUUAGAUUAGAUAGUUGGUGGGGUAAUGGCCUACCAAGUCUACGAUCUAUAGCUGGUUUUAGAGGACGAUCAGCAACACUGGGACUGAGACACGGCCCAGACUCCUACGGGAGGCAGCAGUGGGGAAUCUUAGACAAUGGGCGCAAGCCUGAUCUAGCCAUGCCGCGUGAGUGAAGAAGGCCCUAGGGUCGUAAAGCUCUUUCGCCAGGGAUGAUAAUGACAGUACCUGGUAAAGAAACCCCGGCUAACUCCGUGCCAGCAGCCGCGGUAAUACGGAGGGGGUUAGCGUUGUUCGGAAUUACUGGGCGUAAAGCGUACGUAGGCGGAUCAGAAAGUUGGGGGUGAAAUCCCAGGGCUCAACCCUGGAACUGCCUCCAAAACUCCUGGUCUUGAGUUCGAGAGAGGUGAGUGGAAUUCCAAGUGUAGAGGUGAAAUUCGUAGAUAUUUGGAGGAACACCAGUGGCGAAGGCGGCUCACUGGCUCGAUACUGACGCUGAGGUACG